Molecule: ribosomal RNA, 467 nt
Filed under: uncultured bacterium
Lineage: Bacteria
Description: partial 16S ribosomal RNA
Rfam family: Bacterial small subunit ribosomal RNA
Source: RNAcentral
GACGAACGCUGGCGGCGUGCUUAACACAUGCAAGUCGAACGGAAAGGCCCUGCUUUUGUGGGGUGCUCGAGUGGCGAACGGGUGAGUAACACGUGAGUAACCUGCCCUUGACUUUGGGAUAACUUCAGGAAACUGGGGCUAAUACCGGAUAGGAGCUCCUGCUGCAUGGUGGGGGUUGGAAAGUUUCGGCGGUUGGGGAUGGACUCGCGGCUUAUCAGCUUGUUGGUGGGGUAGUGGCUUACCAAGGCUUUGACGGGUAGCCGGCCUGAGAGGGUGACCGGCCAAAUUGGGACUGAGAUACGGCCCAGACCCCUACGGGGGGAAGGAGGGGGGAAUAUUGCAAAAUGGGCGGAAGCCGGAUGCAGCAACGCCGGGUGGGGGAGGACGGCCUUCGGGUUGGAAACCGCUUUCGCCUGUGACGAAGCGUGGGUGACGGUAAUGGGUAAAGAAGCACCGGCUAACUACGU